GAUGAAGAACGUAGCGAAAUGCGAUAAGUAAUGUGAAUUGCAGAAUUCAGUGAAUCAUCGAAUCUUUGAACGCAUCUUGCGCUCCUUGGUAUUCCGAGGAGCAUGCCUGUUUGAGUGUCAUCAAGUUCUCAAACUGCAUCCAUUUGAAGGGUGUGGAUUUGGAUUAUGGAGUUUGCAGGCUCUUUGAUUGAGGUCUGCUCCUCUGAAAUGUAUUAGUGGCGAUGUGGAAAAGCUACUGUGGGUGUGAUAAAUAUCUAUGCCUUAUGCAGUGUUCUGCUAUGCCGCUUGCAGGGAGAAAUUUCAUUUUUGACAAACUUGACCUCAAAUCAGGUAGGACUACCCGCUGAACUUAAGCAUAUCAAUAAGCGGAGGA
RNAcentral lists this unclassified non-coding RNA (373 nucleotides) under soil metagenome. RNAcentral's name for it is "partial contains 5.8S ribosomal RNA, internal transcribed spacer 2, and large subunit ribosomal RNA". The stretch from base 1 to 120 matches the Rfam family "5.8S ribosomal RNA", at positions 35 to 154 of the family's 154-position model. The record is from RNAcentral.